UUUAAUGUUUGAUGUUCUAACGUGGACCCGUGAUCCGGGUUGCGGACAGUGUCUGGUGGGUAGUUUGACUGGGGCGGUCUCCUCCUAAAGAGUAACGGAGGAGCACGAAGGUUGGCUAAUCCUGGUCGGACAUCAGGAGGUUAGUGCAAUGGCAUAAGCCAGCUUGACUGCGAGCGUGACGGCGCGAGCAGGUGCGAAAGCAGGUCAUAGUGAUCCGGUGGUUCUGAAUGGAAGGGCCAUCGCUCAACGGAUAAAAGGUACUCCGGGGAUAACAGGCUGAUACCGCCCAAGAGUUCAUAUCGACGGCGGUGUUUGGCACCUCGAUGUCGGCUCAUCACAUCCUGGGGCUGAAGUAGGUCCCAAGGGUAUGGCUGUUCGCCAUUUAAAGUGGUACGCGAGCUGGGUUUAGAACGUCGUGAGACAGUUCGGUCCCUAUCUGCCGUGGGCGCUGGAGAACUGAGGGGGGCUGCUCCUAGUACGAGAGGACCGGAGUGGACGCAUCACUGGUGUUCGGGUUGUCAUGCCAAUGGCACUGCCCGGUAGCUAAAUGCGGAAGAGAUAAGUGCUGAAAGCAUCUAAGCACGAAACUUGCCCCGAGAUGAGUUCUCCCUGAGACUUUAGGUCUCCUGAAGGAACGUUGAAGACGACGACGUUGAUAGGCCGGGUGUGUAAGCGCAGCGAUGCGUUGAGCUAACCGGUACUAAUGAACCGUGAGGCUUAACCUUACAACGCCGAAG
This 737-nucleotide ribosomal RNA is filed under the name Salmonella enterica subsp. enterica serovar Typhi. RNAcentral describes it as "partial 23S ribosomal RNA". It matches the Rfam family "Bacterial large subunit ribosomal RNA", at positions 2206 to 2925 of the family's 2925-position model. Lineage: Bacteria; Pseudomonadati; Pseudomonadota; Gammaproteobacteria; Enterobacterales; Enterobacteriaceae. The record is from RNAcentral.